CAAGGACUCCCGGUAGCCUCCCAUCCCGGACCGGACCAAAAACCCGCUGUGGGAGAGCCCACGCCACCGCUCCACGCUCUUUUCUCCUCCCGAUCUGUUGCUUGGAUAUUUUUUCCGAUUUUUCCCAAUAAUUUUUCUAUAUUCGGGGCCUGAGAGUGUGUCUGGCUCUCCUCAGGCUGCAGCGGAGUUAUGGGGCGCUUCUUCUGUUAGGAUCCUAUAAAGCAAACAGAAACUGGACAAGAAUAGAUGAUAGAGAAACAGAAGGUCUGAAGAUGGAUGAGCCCUGUAGACCAUGCAGGAAAAGCCCUCACAUGCACAGCAGCAGCCACCACUCCCCUGCAUGUUUCUGGCUACCACACACCUAAUCAGUCCUGAUUAGAUGCACUGUGAGGGACGAGGAAGCCAGAAGUUUCCUUUGAGAAGUUCUGAUGACAGGACAGAAGAAAGCAAUGGGCUCCCUUAAAUAAAGCCUUCAUCAGGC
Molecule: long non-coding RNA, 481 nt
Organism: Astatotilapia calliptera (eastern happy)
Lineage: Eukaryota; Metazoa; Chordata; Actinopteri; Cichliformes; Cichlidae
Source: Ensembl